CAAAACGUGCAUUUUCACACCUAUAUAAGUGUGCUCUUCACUUGAUGAAAAAGUACAUCCACAGAAAGAAAUAUCAUUUGCCUUUUCUUGACUUUCUUUCUUAAUCACUUUUUCCCUCAUUGGUAUUCUAUUCCUUGUGAAUUUUUGGGCAAUAGUUUUGUGUAAACUUCAAAAUUCCAGCCACGAGUGCACGUGUUUAGAAGUAGCUGUGGAACCUUGGGGAGCGACCGGCUAAAAGAAUUUGCAUCGGAGUCGGGCCGAAUCACUUUUAAGGAAGUGGCUUGCCACGACACAGUGUUUGUGACAACUUUCUUACUAUUACUAAUUCAGUUCUAAUAUCAAUAUUGUAGUAAUUUUUCCAAUAGUUUGAAAGCGAUUUUCGUUACAUACAAUAUUGAUAAAUGACUCUUUCUUUGAAUAAAACUUUUUCUGAUUUGUCAAAAUUUGAGCCAUUGGACGAAAAUAAUUUUAAAUGUUGGUCACAAAAACUUUUGAUUUUCUUCGAAUAAUUAGAAAUUGAUUAUGUUUUGUUUAAUAAAUCCCCUAAUGAUAAUUCUAACAUUACUAUUGGAUCUAACAAUGUUGUGAUUGAUGAAGUUGCUAAAAGAAAAUUUGAAAAAGAUAACAAAACAGUUAGAGGACAUUUGUUGAACCAUAUGACUAAUCAUUUAUUUGAUUUAUUUGUUACUUACAAAUCUGCUAAGAACAGUUUAGAAAAGAAAUAUGGUACCGAUGAUGCAGGAAAGAAAAAUAUCUUGUCGUACAAUGAAUUAAAUUUCAAAUGAUCGACAAUAAAUCAAUCAUGGAACAAGUCCAUGAAUAUGAAAAUUUAACUGUUGAUGUUCUCAAUGAGGGUAUGAAGAUGUAUGAGAUUCUUCAGGCGAAUGUUCUACUUGAAAAAUUUCCACCAUCCUGGAGUGAUUAUAGAAAUCAAUUUAAACAUAAGAAAAAGAAUUUAACUCUCCAAGAUCAAUUACAUGAGAACAGAGGAGGUAAACCGUCUUAAGUAUAAGAUGGAAGCUCUUUCUCUUAAUUCUUCUAAAGCUAACCUUGUGGAAUCUUCUGGUACUAUUACAAAAGACAGGUACGAAGGCAAACAAAAGAAUGUUCAGAAUAAGGAACAAAUGAAAAAAAAAUUUCAACAAGCCAGAGAGUAAAAUUAAAAAAUCAAAGGGGCCUUGUUUUGUCUGUGGAAAACUUGGCCAUAGGGUUGUCCGGUGUUAUCUAAGAAAAGGACAAAAUCCAAAAUAAGGAGGACAAAAUGAUGUCCAAGUUCACCUUGCUGAGGGUGAUGAAGUAAUUGUGGCAGUAGUUGUCGAGACGAACUUGGUGUCUAACAAGACUGAGUGGGUGUUGGAUACAGGGGCUUCAAGGAAUUACUGUGCCAACAAAGAGUUAUUCCAUGACUUUGAGGAAUCCACCAAUGACGAGUGUGUCUACAUGGGUAACUCCACUACUGCUGGAGUUUUGGGUGCUAUUUCAUGAAAAUCUUCAAAGAAGACUUGUAUAGCACGUUCUACCAUGAAAUCUGAAUUCAUUGCUCUUGAGUUGGCAGGGCAAGAAGUUGAGUGGCUGAGAAACCUUUUGGAAGAUAUGCCUUUAUGGGGAAGACAAGUGUCACCAGUCUCUUUACAUUGUGACUCACAGACAGCAGUUGGGAUUGGUAAAAAUAGUGUAUACAAUGGUAAAACGAGACAUAUUCACAUCAGACAUGGUGUAGUUAAACAAUUGUUGAAAUAUGGUGUUAUUUUCUUGGAAUAUGUACGAUCCAAAAAAAAAUUAGCGGAUCCUAUGACCAAGGGUUUGACAAAGAAAAUGGUCUUUGAAUCAUCGAGGGGGAUGGGGCUAAAGCCUAUGGAUUGAGGUAAUAUGGUGAAUACCCAUUUGCACUCAAACGAAGCCAUAUAGGCCUUCAAUAAACACUACAUAUCCUAUCCCUAAGGCAUGAGGUAGUGUAUUAUAAGGUUGAACUUAUUUUUGCUCUUAAUGAUCCAUAGCCUUAAGGUGAUCUAUGAGAUAGACUUGAUGGAUCACCUGCGUGAGAGUAAAAGGUUGGUCACCUUUUUAUGAAAGACUUGAGUUGUCUUUAUAGACUACUCAUGAGACCCAAGGUUUGUGUGCAUGACCAUAAAAGCACUUUAUGAGUAUCACGGAGUUUGUAUAAAAUCGAUAUAGUAUGUGUUGUGGGGUUCUCAACUUAUGUCCAUAUAGUUCAAGAAUACUUCACUUUUUGGAUAUUUGUUGUUGCCUCAUAUCGCUACGUGUCAAUUCAAAUCGAAAGAUAUUAACACUUAAGU
Long non-coding RNA from Capsicum annuum, 2297 nucleotides. RefSeq lists it as uncharacterized. The transcript has 2 exons. The record is from RefSeq and is a predicted model, not a curated record. Lineage: Eukaryota; Viridiplantae; Streptophyta; Magnoliopsida; Solanales; Solanaceae.